This 693-nucleotide long non-coding RNA is filed under the name Citrus x clementina. RNAcentral's name for it is "Citrus clementina (C. clementina) long non-coding RNA (CCLE_LNC005414)". The record is from RNAcentral. Lineage: Eukaryota; Viridiplantae; Streptophyta; Magnoliopsida; Sapindales; Rutaceae.
UAUCAUCACUCUUAAAAAAGAAAAAGAGGAAUUUUAGAAGGAAAAAAGAAAAAAGAAAAGGGCAAAAGCAAGAUUGAGGAAAGUAAUUUUCACUUUUUUGAGGAAAUUAAUGCAAUUAAAAUGUUAACGCAUCUAUCGAGUUGAUUACAAAAAAACACCGUCUAUUUGCUAAAAAAUAAUAUCGAAGGAAACAUGCAAGCUGUCAAAUGUGGUUCACGUGUACAGUCAAUCAUGUUCGUCCAGUGAACCCACAUUUUUUUUUUCUUUAAACAUUUAAAAGCAUUUUGUUAAAUGAAGUUUAAGUCAAACAAUGGCAUCUGGAGAUGCGGAUAAUUAUUAUAUAUUAUAAAUUCUAAUUAAAGAGUGCAUGUUCAGGCAUUAUCUCUACCGUAAAAGAAUUUCAUUUUCAUCAACUAGCCAUUUAUUCGUUUCCAUCAACUCGUUGGUCAUUUCUUCAUUUCUUGCAUGCCUGCCAAUGAAAAAAUAGUUCUGUAAGUCACAUCUCUUCUCUAUCACAAAACACGCGCGCGCGCACACACACACAUGUAUAUAGUGCGGACAACCUCAUUUUUUUUUUAUCCGGCCACACUAUAAAAUUUUGUGAUUUAAUAGAGUUAAUGCAAGUACACUAUAAUAACAUAUCCACAAUAAAUAAAAUAAAAGAACCCGUACAUAUAUAAUCAUUUUAUAGUG